RNAcentral lists this ribosomal RNA (624 nucleotides) under Metabacillus indicus. RNAcentral's name for it is "bacterial SSU rRNA". It matches the Rfam family "Bacterial small subunit ribosomal RNA", at positions 57 to 674 of the family's 1533-position model. The record is from RNAcentral. Lineage: Bacteria; Bacillati; Bacillota; Bacilli; Caryophanales; Bacillaceae.
GCAAGUCGAGCGGACCUCUUCGGAGGUUCAGCGGCGGACGGGUGAGUAACACGUGGGCAACCUGCCUGUAAGACUGGGAUAACUCCGGGAAACCGGAGCUAAUACCGGAUACUAUGUCAAACCGCAUGGUUUGACAUUCAAAGACGGUUUCGGCUGUCACUUACAGAUGGGCCCGCGGCGCAUUAGCUAGUUGGUGAGGUAACGGCUCACCAAGGCGACGAUGCGUAGCCGACCUGAGAGGGUGAUCGGCCACACUGGGACUGAGACACGGCCCAGACUCCUACGGGAGGCAGCAGUAGGGAAUCUUCCGCAAUGGACGAAAGUCUGACGGAGCAACGCCGCGUGAGUGAUGAAGGUUUUCGGAUCGUAAAACUCUGUUGUCAGGGAAGAACAAGUGCCGGAGUAACUGCCGGCGCCUUGACGGUACCUGACCAGAAAGCCACGGCUAACUACGUGCCAGCAGCCGCGGUAAUACGUAGGUGGCAAGCGUUGUCCGGAAUUAUUGGGCGUAAAGCGCGCGCAGGCGGUUUCUUAAGUCUGAUGUGAAAGCCCCCGGCUCAACCGGGGAGGGUCAUUGGAAAACUGGGAAACUUGAGUGCAGAAGAGGAGAGUGGAAUUUCCACG